UACGAAGGGUGCAAGCGUUACUCGGAAUUACUGGGCGUAAAGGGUGCGUAGGUGGUCGUUUAAGCCCGUUGUGAAAUCCCUGGGCUCAACCUGGGAAUGGCAGUGGAUACUGGACGGCUAGAAUGCGGUAGAGGGUAGUGGAAUUCCCGGUGUAGCAGUGAAAUGCGUAGAGAUCCGGAGGAACACCAAAGGCGAAGGCAGUGUCCUGGGGAGUACCUGACACUCAGGUGCGAAAGCCAGGGGAGCGAACGGG
RNAcentral lists this ribosomal RNA (253 nucleotides) under uncultured bacterium. Its description in RNAcentral is "partial 16S ribosomal RNA". It matches the Rfam family "Bacterial small subunit ribosomal RNA", at positions 524 to 776 of the family's 1533-position model. The record is from RNAcentral.